CUGAAAGAAUUAUCAGUUAUUAUGGCGUUUCUUACUUUGUAUGUCUUAUGCGACAUACAGAGUUCUCAUGUAGAGAGUAUUUAUUAGUGGGCUGAUAAAUACAUUAUUUCAAUCCAAUAUCCAAUACCAAAUUUGAAAUCACACUGUAAGCAAAGGACUUACGGCAAUCGCUGGAUCUUAAUGUUGUUUUGACCAAUCUCUACCUCAGGUUGCAGAAGCUCUAAAUCAACUGAAUUAAGAUAUUCUCCAUUAGCCUUUUAAUCAUCCAAGACCUUUGCACUCAUGAUUGCCAUUAAUCUGCUGCAUUGAGAUAUUUCUAUUACUGUUACGUUUAAAACAAAAUGCUUGAAAGGUCAGUGCAAGCAUUUAUUAAUUGGUGGAUGAAUCAGUCAUAGUUCCUGCCCUUCUUGCUUAUGUGAGAAUAAUUUGUGGAGUUUAAGUUGUCCACUUGUCCAGAUAGCACAUGGGGUGUGAAUGUCAUGGCAUAAUUUUUGUUGGCAAAAAGAGCUGUCGGCCACCAAUCCGUCUCAUGAAGACAUCAGAACAAAGAAACUAAAUGAAGGAGAUCUAUAAUAAAGGGAUUCCUUUGCAGUUGUAGGGUCAAUGAAGUGCCAACAUUUCAGAGGUCCAAGGGAGGGUUGGUGAUGGGGCAAUUGCUACCCCCCCCCCCCCAGGUCACUGUCAUACAGGGCUGUUGUUCCAUAGUCUCACAGCACAAUAUAUUUUUCUAGGUCAGCACUGAAGGUUGGUCUAAAAGCUGGCAAAUUGGGACAUUUCAUGGGAGUCUGGUAUCAGAGGUUGACUAGGUUGCUGGACUAUUAUGAGACUGUGUGGUGUUCUUGGGGGUAUUUGCAAGUCAUUACAUUAUUCAAAACAUUCCUCCCAGACGCUGGACGUCAUUGGUGGACAUGAAGUUAUGAGAAUCAGAGUCUGCAUCUCUUAGACACGUCUUCUCAUGUCGUGCAGGACAUAUUGACG
This is a non-coding RNA of Pelobates cultripes (western spadefoot toad), 978 nucleotides long. The record is from the annotation of a GenBank genome assembly. Lineage: Eukaryota; Metazoa; Chordata; Amphibia; Anura; Pelobatidae.